GAUGAACGCUGGCGGCGUGCCUAAUACAUGCAAGUCGAGCGAACAGACGAGGAUCUUGCUCCUCUGACGUUAGCGGCGGACGGGUGAGUAACACGUGGAUAACCUACCUAUAAGACUGGGAUAACUUCGGGAAACCGGAGCUAAUACCGGAUAAUAUAUUGAACCGCAUGGUCCAAUAGUGAAAGACGGUUUUGCUGUCACUUAUAGAUGGAUCCGCGGCGCAUUAGCUAGUUGGUAAGGUAACGGCUUACCAAGGCAACGAUGCGUAGCCGACCUGAGAGGGUGAUCGGCCACACUGGAACUGAACCACGGUCCAGACUCCUACGGGAGGCAGCAGUAGGGAAUCUUCCGCAAUGGGCGAAAGCCUGACGGAGCAACGCCGCGUGAGUGAUGAAGGUCUUCGGAUCGUAAAACUCUGUUAUUAGGGAAGAACAAAUGUGUAAGUAACUAUGCACGUCUUGACGGUACCUAAUCAGAAAGCCACGGCUAACUACGUG
RNAcentral lists this ribosomal RNA (497 nucleotides) under uncultured bacterium. RNAcentral's name for it is "partial 16S ribosomal RNA". It matches the Rfam family "Bacterial small subunit ribosomal RNA", at positions 28 to 507 of the family's 1533-position model. The record is from RNAcentral.